AGAGUUUGAUCAUGGCUCAGGAUGAACGCUGGUGGCGUGCUUUAUACAUGCAAGUCGAGCGGAGAUCAGCUUGAAGCAGAAGGUGAUUAAUUUACACUUUGUGUGAGUUAUGAACUUUCUGUGACGGUUGAUCUUAGCGGCGAACGGGUGAGUAACGCGUGGAUAAUCUGCCCUUGAGACCGGGAUAACAUCUCGAAAGGGGUGCUAAUACCGGAUAAGACCACGAUUCGCUCGCGAGAAGUGGUAAAAGGUGGCCUCUACGUGUAAGCUAUCACUCAGGGAUAAGCCCGCGUACCAUUAGCUUGUUGGUGAGGUAACGGCCCACCAAGGCUUCGAUGGGUAGCCGGCCUGAGAGGGUGACCGGCCACACUGGGACUGAGACACAGCCCAGACUCCUACGGGAGGCAGC
Molecule: ribosomal RNA, 409 nt
Filed under: uncultured bacterium
Lineage: Bacteria
Description: bacterial SSU rRNA
Rfam family: Bacterial small subunit ribosomal RNA
Source: RNAcentral